AAAUUGAAGAGUUUGAUCAUGGCUCAGAUUGAACGCUGGCGGCAGGCCUAACACAUGCAAGUCGAGCGGAAACGAGUUAUCAGAACCUUCGGGGGACGAUAACGGCGUCGAGCGGCGGACGGGUGAGUAAUGCCUAGGAAAUUGCCCUGAUGUGGGGGAUAACCAUUGGAAACGAUGGCUAAUACCGCAUGAUGCCUACGGGCCAAAGAGGGGGACCUUUGG
RNAcentral lists this ribosomal RNA (222 nucleotides) under Vibrio parahaemolyticus. RNAcentral's name for it is "partial 16S ribosomal RNA". It matches the Rfam family "Bacterial small subunit ribosomal RNA", at positions 1 to 213 of the family's 1533-position model. Lineage: Bacteria; Pseudomonadati; Pseudomonadota; Gammaproteobacteria; Vibrionales; Vibrionaceae. The record is from RNAcentral.